RNAcentral lists this ribosomal RNA (425 nucleotides) under uncultured bacterium. RNAcentral describes it as "bacterial SSU rRNA". It matches the Rfam family "Bacterial small subunit ribosomal RNA", at positions 61 to 527 of the family's 1533-position model. The record is from RNAcentral.
GUCGUACGAGAGUUUUUACUCAAGUGGCGGACGGGUGAGUAACACGUAAGAAUUUGCCUUUAGGAGGGGGACAACAACUGGAAACGGUUGCUAAUACCCCAUAUGCUUUCGAGUGAAAUGGAUUUUUCCGCCUAGAGAGAAGCUUGCGGCUGAUUAGCUUGUUGGUGAGGUAAGGGCUCACCAAGGCGACGAUCAGUAUCUGGUUUGAGAGGACGAUCAGACACACUGGAACUGAGACACGGUCCAGACUCCUACGGGAGGCAGCAGUGGGGAAUUUUCCGCAAUGGGCGAAAGCCUGACGGAGCAAUACCGCGUGAGGGAUGACGGCCUAUGGGUUGUAAACCUCUUUUUUCAGGGAGGAAUAACUGACGUGUACCUGAAGAAUAAGCAUCGGCUAACUCCGUGCCAGCAGCCGCGGUAAUACG